CGGACGGGUGAGUAACGCGUGGGGAACCUGCCCUGUACCGGGGGAUAGCAGCCGGAAACGGCUGAUAAUACCGCAUAAGCGCACGAAUGUCGCAUGACAUGGUGUGAAAAACUCCGGUGGUAUAGGAUGGACCCGCGUCUGAUUAGCCGGUUGGUGGGGUAAAAGCCUACCAAAGCGAAGAUCAGUAGCCGAGUUGAGAGACUGACCGGCCACAUUGGGACUGAGACACGGCCCAGACUCCUACGGGAGGCAGCAGCG
Molecule: ribosomal RNA, 258 nt
Filed under: uncultured bacterium
Lineage: Bacteria
Description: partial 16S ribosomal RNA
Rfam family: Bacterial small subunit ribosomal RNA
Source: RNAcentral